GGUUAAGCGACUAAGCGUACACGGUGGAUGCCCUGGCAGUCAGAGGCGAUGAAGGACGUGCUAAUCUGCGAAAAGCGUCGGUAAGGUGAUAUGAACCGUUAUAACCGGCGAUGUCCGAAUGGGGAAACCCAGUGCAAUUCGUUGCACUAUCGUUAACUGAAUACAUAGGUUAACGAGGCGAACCGGGGGAACUGAAACAUCUAAGUACCCCGAGGAAAAGAAAUCAACCGAGAUUCCCCCAGUAGCGGCGAGCGAACGGGGAGCAGCCCAGAGUCUGAAUCAGCUUGUGUGUUAGUGGAACGGUCUGGAAAGUCCGACGGUACAGGGUGAUAGUCCCGUACACCAAAAUGCACAGGUUGUGAACUCGAAGAGUAGGGCGGGACACGUGGUAUCCUGUCUGAAUAUGGGGGGACCAUCCUCCAAGGCUAAAUACUCCUGACUGACCGAUAGUGAACCAGUACCGUGAGGGAAAGGCGAAAAGAACCCCGGCGAGGGGAGUGAAAAAGAACCUGAAACCGUGUACGUACAAGCAGUGGGAGCACCUUCGGGUGUGACUGCGUACCUUUUGUAUAAUGGGUCAGCGACUUAUAUUCUGUAGCAAGGUUAACCGUAUAGGGGAGCCGCAGGGAAACCGAGUCUUAACUGGGCGUUAAGUUGCAGGGUAUAGACCCGAAACCCGGUGAUCUAGCCAUGGGCAGGUUGAAGGUUGGGUAACACUAACUGGAGGACCGAACCGACUAAUGUUGAAAAAUUAGCGGAUGACUUGUGGCUGGGGGUGAAAGGCCAAUCAAACCGGGAGAUAGCUGGUUCUCCCCGAAAGCUAUUUAGGUAGCGCCUCGUGAAUUCAUCUUCGGGGGUAGAGCACUGUUUCGGCUAGGGGGUCAUCCCGACUUACCAACCCGAUGCAAACUACGAAUACCGAAGAAUGUUAUCACGGGAGACACACGGCGGGUGCUAACGUCCGUCGUGAAGAGGGAAACAACCCAGACCGCCAGCUAAGGUCCCAAAGUCAUGGUUAAGUGGGAAACGAUGUGGGAAGGCACAGACAGCCAGGAUGUUGGCUUAGAAGCAGCCAUCAUUUAAAGAAAGCGUAAUAGCUCACUGGUCGAGUCGGCCUGCGCGGAAGAUGUAACGGGGCUAAACCAUGCACCGAAGCUGCGGCAGCGACACUAUGUGUUGUUGGGUAGGGGAGCGUUCUGUAAGCCUGCGAAGGUGACCUGUGAGGGUUGCUGGAGGUAUCAGAAGUGCGAAUGCUGACAUAAGUAACGAUAAAGCGGGUGAAAAGCCCGCUCGCCGGAAGACCAAGGGUUCCUGUCCAACGUUAAUCGGGGCAGGGUGAGUCGACCCCUAAGGCGAGGCCGAAAGGCGUAGUCGAUGGGAAACAGGUUAAUAUUCCUGUACUUGGUGUUACUGCGAAGGGGGGACGGAGAAGGCUAUGUUAGCCGGGCGACGGUUGUCCCGGUUUAAGCAUGUAGGCUGGUUAUCCAGGCAAAUCCGGAUAAUCAAGGCUGAGGUGUGAUGACGAGGCACUACGGUGCUGAAGUAACAAAUGCCCUGCUUCCAGGAAAAGCCUCUAAGCAUCAGGUAACAUCAAAUCGUACCCCAAACCGACACAGGUGGUCAGGUAGAGAAUACCAAGGCGCUUGAGAGAACUCGGGUGAAGGAACUAGGCAAAAUGGUGCCGUAACUUCGGGAGAAGGCACGCUGGUGUGUAGGUGAAGCCCCUGCGGGUGGAGCUGAGACCAGUCGAAGAUACCAGCUGGCUGCAACUGUUUAUUAAAAACACAGCACUGUGCAAACACGAAAGUGGACGUAUACGGUGUGACGCCUGCCCGGUGCCGGAAGGUUAAUUGAUGGGGUUAUCCGUAAGGAGAAGCUCUUGAUCGAAGCCCCGGUAAACGGCGGCCGUAACUAUAACGGUCCUAAGGUAGCGAAAUUCCUUGUCGGGUAAGUUCCGACCUGCACGAAUGGCGUAAUGAUGGCCAGGCUGUCUCCACCCGAGACUCAGUGAAAUUGAACUCGCUGUGAAGAUGCAGUGUACCCGCGGCAAGACGGAAAGACCCCGUGAACCUUUACUAUAGCUUGACACUGAACAUUGAGCCUUGAUGUGUAGGAUAGGUGGGAGGCUUUGAAGCGUGGACGCCAGUCUGCGUGGAGCCAACCUUGAAAUACCACCCUUUAAUGUUUGAUGUUCUAACGUUGGCCCCUUAUCGGGGUUGCGGACAGUGUCUGGUGGGUAGUUUGACUGGGGCGGUCUCCUCCCAAAGCGUAACGGAGGAGCACGAAGGUUAGCUAAUCCUGGUCGGACAUCAGGAGGUUAGUGCAAUGGCAUAAGCUAGCUUGACUGCGAGCGUGACGGCGCGAGCAGGUGCGAAAGCAGGUCAUAGUGAUCCGGUGGUUCUGAAUGGAAGGGCCAUCGCUCAACGGAUAAAAGGUACUCCGGGGAUAACAGGCUGAUACCGCCCAAGAGUUCAUAUCGACGGCGGUGUUUGGCACCUCGAUGUCGGCUCAUCACAUCCUGGGGCUGAAGUAGGUCCCAAGGGUAUGGCUGUUCGCCAUUUAAAGUGGUACGCGAGCUGGGUUUAGAACGUCGUGAGACAGUUCGGUCCCUAUCUGCCGUGGGCGCUGGAGAAUUGAGGGGGGCUGCUCCUAGUACGAGAGGACCGGAGUGGACGCAUCACUGGUGUUCGGGUUGUCAUGCCAAUGGCACUGCCCGGUAGCUAAAUGCGGAAGAGAUAAGUGCUGAAAGCAUCUAAGCACGAAACUUGCCCCGAGAUGAGUUCUCCCUGAGACUUUAAGUCUCCUGAAGGAACGUUAAAGACGAUGACGUUGAUAGGCCGGGUGUGUAAGCGCAGCGAUGCGUUGAGCUAACCGGUACUAAUGAACCGUGAGGCUUAACCUU
Molecule: ribosomal RNA, 2902 nt
Filed under: Klebsiella pneumoniae
Lineage: Bacteria; Pseudomonadati; Pseudomonadota; Gammaproteobacteria; Enterobacterales; Enterobacteriaceae
Also listed under: 1 other name
Description: 23S ribosomal RNA
Rfam family: Bacterial large subunit ribosomal RNA
Source: RNAcentral